UGGGGAAUAUUGCACAAUGGGCGCAAGCCUGAUGCAGCCAUGCCGCGUGUGUGAAGAAGGCCUUCGGGUUGUAAAGCACUUUCAGCGGGGAGGAAGGCGAUAAGGUUAAUAACCUUGUCGAUUGACGUUACCCGCAGAAGAAGCACCGGCUAACUCCGUGCCAGCAGCCGCGGUAAUACGGAGGGUGCAAGCGUUAAUCGGAAUUACUGGGCGUAAAGCGCACGCAGGCGGUCUGUCAAGUCGGAUGUGAAAUCCCCGGGCUCAACCUGGGAACUGCAUUCGAAACUGGCAGGCUAGAGUCUUGUAGAGGGGGGUAGAAUUCCAGGUGUAGCGGUGAAAUGCGUAGAGAUCUGGAGGAAUACCGGUGGCGAAGGCGGCCCCCUGGACAAAGACUGACACUCAGGUGCGAAAGCGUGGGGAGCAAACAGG
Molecule: ribosomal RNA, 429 nt
Filed under: Chloroflexota bacterium
Lineage: Bacteria; Bacillati; Chloroflexota
Description: Chloroflexi bacterium partial 16S ribosomal RNA
Rfam family: Bacterial small subunit ribosomal RNA
Source: RNAcentral